GUAGGUGAACCUGCGGAAGGAUCAUUAACAAAAUCAUGAAGAUUAGUGGUCAAACACUAAUUUUUAACCAAUGUGAAUUGGAUAGUAUUCUACUAUCUUUUUUAAUAAUAACAGUUUACUGUUGUUAUUAUAUUAACGAGUUUUAUUAGAGUCUGAUUAAAAAUAAUUAAAUUAUAAACAACUUUUAACAAUGGAUCUCUUGGCUCUG
Molecule: unclassified non-coding RNA, 208 nt
Filed under: rhizosphere metagenome
Description: partial ribosomal RNA internal transcribed spacer region
Source: RNAcentral